Molecule: long non-coding RNA, 339 nt
Organism: Eriocheir sinensis (Chinese mitten crab)
Lineage: Eukaryota; Metazoa; Arthropoda; Malacostraca; Decapoda; Varunidae
Exons: 2
Source: RefSeq, a predicted model, not a curated record
CAGGAAUGGGAGUGUGGUUCCUUCAAUCAAUAUCUUAGGGACAGGAAUGGGAGUGAGAGGGAGUGCGGUUCCUUCAAUCAAUAUCUUAGGGACAGGAAAGGGAGUGUGGUUCCUUCAAUCAAUAUCUUAGGGACAGGAAAGGGAGUGCGAGGGAGUGCGGUUCCUUCAAUCAAUAUCUUAGGGACAGGAAAGGGAGUGUGGUUCCUUCAAUCAAUAUCUUAGGGACAGGAAAGGGAGUGUGGUUCCUUCAAUCAAUAUCUUAGGGACAGGAAAGGGAGUGUGGUUCCUUCAAUCAAUAUCUUAGGGACAGGAAAGGGAGUGUGGUUCCUUCAAUCAAUA